GAAAAAUGGGACGCGUGCUACUUUCUGAAUCAGUCUUCUGUUACUGAAGGCCCAACAGAACACACUCGCUCUUCACUCAUCCAUUCGUCCGUGGGGAGCCCACAAAUGUGAGACCAGAAGAUGUGGUUGGACAUUCUUACCCUCAAGCCAUAUGGUUCAUUCUCCAGAGAGCUGUCCCCUAUUUGGUGGAGGCCUUCCCAAGUCACCCACUAACCAAACUCAGGAACUCUUGGCAUCAGGAGAUGGAGACUUUGGAGUCUAAGCUGUGGCAGGUGCUCUCCCAAAUGACCAGUGACCUUGAAAUGAUCCACAAGAGAUAGCCACUGACAACC
This 332-nucleotide long non-coding RNA is filed under the name Meriones unguiculatus (Mongolian gerbil). Its description in RNAcentral is "lncRNA (ENSMUGG00000016286.1)". The record is from RNAcentral. Lineage: Eukaryota; Metazoa; Chordata; Mammalia; Rodentia; Muridae.